UAGACAUUUAAACCUAACAAUUUCAACAUCAAAACACAUAAUAAAUUAACCUAAUACUAAAAUUACAAGUUACAACAAGUACUUUGGAUCACACAUUUAAAUCCUUCACAAGUAUUUAUCUAGUUCAACAUAAAACACACAAUUACACAAUCAAAGGUUUAUAAGACAUAACCAAAACACAAAAGAAAACAACAAAGCAACAAUUAAAUUUCUAAUAAACUCUAAAACUCAAAUCCUCCAAUAUCUUCAUCUUCCAUGGCAUCAACAUCAUCAUCUUCACCAUCUUCAUCAGAAACAUCAUUUCUUUCAGCCUCAGGUUCAACACGGCCAACAAAAUCUUCAUCAUCAUUCACAUGUUCAUCUUCUUCCUCUAUUAAAUUUUGUUGUGGAUCCCCAAUAAACUCAUUCUCACCUCCCUCACCCAUGUUGAAUUCAUUACUAUUCAUACCUGGAAUAGCAAAUUCAUUACUAUUUGGAUCAUCAUUAGUAUUGUCAUUCAUUGGCAAGUGAGAAUGCUCAACACUUUCAGCAAUAUUUU
Molecule: non-coding RNA, 538 nt
Organism: Arachis ipaensis
Lineage: Eukaryota; Viridiplantae; Streptophyta; Magnoliopsida; Fabales; Fabaceae
Source: RefSeq, a predicted model, not a curated record